GACGAACGCUGGCGGCGUGCUUAACACAUGCAAGUCGAACGAUGAAGCCUAGCUUGCUAGGUGGAUUAGUGGCGAACGGGUGAGUAAUACGUGAGUAACCUACCUUUAACUCUGGGAUAAGCCUGGGAAACUGGGUCUAAUACCGGAUACGACCAAUCUCCGCAUGGGGUGUUGGUGGAAAGCGUUAUGUAGUGGUUAUAGAUGGGCUCACGGCCUAUCAGCUUGUUGGUGAGGUAACGGCUCACCAAGGCGACGACGGGUAGCCGGCCUGAGAGGGUGACCGGCCACACUGGGACUGAGACACGGCCCAGACUCCUACGGGAGGCAGCAGUGGGGAAUAUUGCACAAUGGGCGCAAGCCUGAUGCAGCGACGCCGCGUGAGGGAUGACGGCCUUCGGGUUGUAAACCUCUGUCAGCAGGGAAGAAGAGAAAUUGACGGUACCUGCAGAGAAAGCGCCGGCUAACUACGUG
Molecule: ribosomal RNA, 471 nt
Filed under: uncultured bacterium
Lineage: Bacteria
Description: partial 16S ribosomal RNA
Rfam family: Bacterial small subunit ribosomal RNA
Source: RNAcentral